AUUGAACGCUGGCGGCAGGCCUAACACAUGCAAGUCGAACGAGUGGCGGACGGGUGAGUAAUGUCUGGGAAACUGCCCGAUGGAGGGGGAUAACUACUGGAAACGGUAGCUAAUACCGCAUACCAUCGGAUGUGCCCAGAUGGGAUUAGCUAGUGGGUGGGGUAACGGCUCACCUAGGCGACGAUCCCUAGCUGGUCUGAGAGGAUGACCGGCAACACUGGACCUGGGACACGGUCCAGAUUCCUACGGGGGGCAGCAGUGGGGAAUAUUGCACAAGGGGCGCAAGCCUGAUGCAGCAAUGCCGCGUGUAUGAGGAAGGCCUUCGGGUUGUAAAGUACUUUCAGCGAGGAGGCGUUACUCGCAGAAGAAGCAACGGCUAACUCCGUGCCAGCAGCCGCGGUAAUAC
Molecule: ribosomal RNA, 406 nt
Filed under: uncultured bacterium
Lineage: Bacteria
Description: partial 16S ribosomal RNA
Rfam family: Bacterial small subunit ribosomal RNA
Source: RNAcentral